UACGUAGGGAGCAAGCGUUGUCCGGAUUUAUUGGGCGUAAAGCGCACGCAGGCGGUUUAGUCAGUCUCUACUGACAGUGUCCGGCCUCAACCGGGCAAGUGGUAGGGAAACUGCUAAACUUGAGGGCUUCAGAGGGAUGGGGAACUCCAGGUGGAGUGGUGAAAUGCGUAGAUAUCUGGAAGAACACCAAUGGCGAAGGCACCAUCCUGGGAAGCAUCUGACGCUCAGGUGCGAAAGCUAGGGGAGCGAACGGGAUAGAAACCCC
This 265-nucleotide ribosomal RNA is filed under the name uncultured bacterium. RNAcentral's name for it is "partial 16S ribosomal RNA". It matches the Rfam family "Bacterial small subunit ribosomal RNA", at positions 524 to 788 of the family's 1533-position model. The record is from RNAcentral.